AUUGAACGCUGGCGGCAUGCUUUACACAUGCAAGUCGAACGGCAGCGCGGGCUUCGGCCUGGCGGCGAGUGGCGAACGGGUGAGUAAUGCAUCGGAACGUGCCCAGUAGUGGGGGAUAGCCCGGCGAAAGCCGGAUUAAUACCGCAUACGACCUGAGGGUGAGAGCGGGGGACCGAAAGGCCUCGCGCUAUUGGAGCGGCCGAUGUCGGAUUAGCUAGUUGGUGGGGUAAAGGCUUACCGAGGCGACGAUCCGUAGCUGGUCUGAGAGGACGACCAGCCACACUGGGACUGAGACACGGCCCAGACUCCUACGGGAGGCAGCAGUGGGGAAUUUUGGACAAUGGGGGCAACCCUGAUCCAGCCAUGCCGCGUGCGGGAAGAAGGCCUUCGGGUUGUAAACCGCUUUUGUUCGGGAAGAAAUCCUCUGGGCUAAUACCCCGGGGGGAUGACGGUACCGGAAGAAUAAGCACCGGCUAACUACGUG
Molecule: ribosomal RNA, 484 nt
Filed under: uncultured bacterium
Lineage: Bacteria
Description: partial 16S ribosomal RNA
Rfam family: Bacterial small subunit ribosomal RNA
Source: RNAcentral